Molecule: long non-coding RNA, 629 nt
Organism: Onychostoma macrolepis
Lineage: Eukaryota; Metazoa; Chordata; Actinopteri; Cypriniformes; Cyprinidae
Exons: 3
Source: RefSeq, a predicted model, not a curated record
AGGAGUGAUAAUAUAAUCUUUCUACAAAGGAAGAGAAGCUCCAAGAUUUCAAAAUUUCUGAAGGGAGCUGCUGACAGAAAUGCAGGAAACACAGAUUAUGAUGGCCGUGCAGCAGAGGAGCGCAGAGUCUCCUGUCGGACAACAUCUCUAAGUCGCUAUGAACCAUGUGACUAGAUGCUAUGUACCCAGCCUCAACCAUUCAUCAGAAGGACUGUGAAAGCGGGAACUCUUUGAACCAGCAGUGGCAGUUAUAGUGGAUAGUGGAUAGUAGUGGAUGAUGAGGGACUGACAUUAACCUGCCAAAAAAGGUUUCUCUGUGACAUCGCCGCGAAACCCCCUUUUUGGUUCUUUCUGUCACCUUUUUUUAAGAGUGUAGAUGAGUGUGCAACUGACCAAUAACAACUGAGUAUUCCAGCAAGCUGUUUAUUAAUAUUGUGUAGAAGUGUACCAUAUGGGGUGAAGAUCAAGACAACCAAACCAAAGGUGGACUGUAACCUACUGGACUAUAUGAUAGACUUCAUACUGACCACUACUGCCAUGUAUGCAGCAUGAGACGUUUUUGAAAAGAGGGGCAUUUCCUUCACCAAGUAAAAGUGUGGAGGAUUCAUCUGGCCUUCAUCGGGCCUCAU